Molecule: ribosomal RNA, 253 nt
Filed under: uncultured bacterium
Lineage: Bacteria
Description: partial 16S ribosomal RNA
Rfam family: Bacterial small subunit ribosomal RNA
Source: RNAcentral
UACGUAGGGUCCGAGCGUUGUCCGGAGUUACUGGGCGUAAAGCGCGCGCAGGCGGCGGUGCUGGCCCGGCGUGAAAGCCCCCGGCUCAACCGGGGAGAGUCGUCGGGGACCGCACCGCUUGAGGGCGGUAGGGGCUGGUGGAAUGCCUGGUGUAGUGGUGAAAUGCGUAGAGAUCAGGCAGAACACCUGGGGCGAAGGCGGCCAGCUGGGCCGUCCCUGACGCUGAGACGCGAAGGCGUGGGGAGCGAACGGG